CUGCGAGUGAGCGGGAAAAGCUCAAAUUUAAAAUCUGGCGGUCUCCGGCCGUCCGAGUUGUAAUUUAGAGAAGCGUUAUCCGUGCUGGACCGUGUAUAAGUCUCCUGGAAUGGAGCGUCAUAGAGGGUGAGAAUCCCGUCUUUGACACGGACUACCAGUGCAUUGUGAUGCGCUCUCGACGAGUCGAGUUGUUUGGGAAUGCAGCUCAAAAUGGGUGGUAAAUGCCAUCUAAAGCUAAAUAUUGGCGAGAGACCGAUAGCGAACAAGUACCGUGAGGGAAAGAUGAAAAGAACUUUGGAAAGAGAGUUAAACAGUACGUGAAAUUGUCGAAAGGGAAACGGUUGCAGUCAGUCGCGUCCGCCGGGGAUCAACCUUGCUUUUGCUUGGCGUAUUUCCCGGUGGAUGGGUCAGCAUCAGUUUUGACCGCAGUUGAAAGGCUGGAGGAAUGUGGCACCUUCGGGUGUGUUAUAGCCUCCUGUCAUAUGCUGCGGUUGGGACUGAGGAACUCAGCACGCCGCAAGGCCGGGAUUCGUCCACGUUCGUGCUUAGGAUGCUGGCAUAUGUCUGUAACCGACC
RNAcentral lists this ribosomal RNA (576 nucleotides) under Schizophyllum commune. RNAcentral describes it as "LSU rRNA". It matches the Rfam family "Eukaryotic large subunit ribosomal RNA", at positions 87 to 649 of the family's 3401-position model. The record is from RNAcentral. Lineage: Eukaryota; Fungi; Basidiomycota; Agaricomycetes; Agaricales; Schizophyllaceae.